AAAACCCAAACCAGCAAACACUGUGCGGAAAUCAUGUUUCCUUUCCAGGUGACUGAAUAACUCAUGGCUCUUUUGCAAGACACUGUAAACUCCUUUUGUUCCGCUCCUGCAAGCUUCCCAUCGGGGGAAAUAAAGCACCCAUAGCUCAGCAUUGCUGCAGUAACACCCAAACCUCAGCAGAGACAACGGGUGACAUAAAGGGGUUUUGCAAGGUGCUGGAUCAGCAUCCCGUGCUCUCCAUCAGGAGCCAGAGGGCAAACUGGCUGCUGCCACGCUUGUGGGAGCAUUGGUUUGCAAGGUGACUGAGCUGGGCCGGCCCCGUUACACACUCAAUAAUUCAUAAGGGCAAACGAAUCACUUAUUGAUGGCAGCGAGCAUGCAAGCCAAGGCGAGGAGGAGAAAAUAACAUCAGCAAUCAGCCUGCGGAGAGGCUUGAAUGUAUUAAGCAGGAGGUGUGUGUGUGUGUGUGCACGUGCACCUUGCUGCUGCUUUGCUGAGUGAUGCGUGUGGUCGACAUGGCAGAGGGAAAGAUUUGAGAUACACCCUGCACUGCAGUGCCCACCGAACCACCCCGACGGCUCCCGGGGCAGCGGCACAUCAAUGGUGAGCCGUGUAGGCUGAAGCUUGCUGAGUUGCAGUUUACUCAUUGUUUUAUUUUACUUUUUGGUUGUUGUUGUCGUCGCUUGUGUUGUUGUUGUUGUUGUUGUUUUUAAGGUAGAAAAAGCCCAGCUGAGAGCCAAAGACAUGUUGGUGCCAAGCACUCAUUAGCAGAGACCUCUGGGAUGCUACUCCUCCACCUUGGCUUCUGAAGUGGUUUGUGCUGGUGCCUUUCCCCACGAUCCCAAGCCCAGAUAGUUACUGGGUCAUGCCAGGCCUUGGAGGCCCCGUGCAGAGCUCAGGGUGCCUUAUAUGUGGCUGGGCACCUGGGUGUGAUGUGCAAAUAGCCUGCUGCCCCUCCAGGCUUUGCAGAACGCUUCAGUGCCUAAAGUCUUAGAAUCAUUAAGCUUGGGAAAGACCACUAAGAUCUACUCUGACCAUCAACCCAUCAAAGGCAGCAGAUCUUACAAGUGUGGGAUCUGGUUCUUGCCCUUCCCCGUAUAGAAAGCUCUGGAAAUGAUCUCCAAGCACUGUGCUCUGUCACAAUGAGCUUCUGAUCAAUGCCUCUUUGUUAAGCACCAUGUGAACUCCGCUCUGCUUUGCACAACCUUGCCUCUGCAAAGUGUCUCACCGAUUUCUCUCUCCCAUUCCCUGAUACUCAUCUCACCCCAAGGGCACUGAAACAGCCCUUGGCAGCACUGUGCUGAGCCGCCCUUUGCUGGGGCAAUCUCACAGCUGAAGCAAAUGUCAGAGGAACGAGUCCUAAUAGACUUCACAUCACUUAGAACUGAAGGAGAUGUGGAGGUCACAGCAGCUGGACCUCAUUAAAGGGCAAAGCAAUGCAUCAUGCUCCCACCUAUAAAAGACCUUGCACCAAGCAUCUCAUUCUUAGCUGGUUCCUUGCACUGUGAUCUUUAAAAGAAGCACUGUCCUGGCCCUGGGUUUGCAUGCUUUUAGGUAAAGGCACUUGAAGAAGAUACCAAGAACUCUUUGUGGAAAGAGAAAUGGGACAGAGCUUUUUAGCAAUAGCUUGGUGAUCUCUGCAGCACAUGGGCACCCUGCCUCAGUCCUGCACCCGCCUGCAGGAGUUGGUCUGCGUGUUUAUGGAAAGCGCUGAGUCUUCAAAGGGCUUUUCAGAAGGUAACUAAUUAAUCCUCGCACAUCCCAGAGGCAGGUAAGUAUUAUUACCUCUGCUUUCAGGGAUGGGGAAAUCAGAGGUGCUGAAUGACAAAGAAAUGUGCCCAAGGCCACCUAGGCAAUCUCACCGGCAUGGCUUGGGUUAGACGUGGGGCUCUGCAUAUUGGGGUGAUGAUUCUCACCUAAGGAAGCAGCAUGCAGGCAUUGUGGUGAUGCCUCGCAGCCCUGAAUAGAAAAGGUCGCUCUUAUCUUUAUGGCUGGGGAAACUGAGGCAUGGGGUGAUGAAGAAGCAAACCUAUUGACAGAGCCUGGAAGAGAAGCUAAGUGUGAUCCAUGUUAGCAGCUAGGCUGAAGUUACCAAAACAUGGCUUGAGGAUGGGGACCCUUGGGCUCAAAGCCAGCAGUGGCUGGGGGGAGAUAUGAGCUGCAGGGCUGCAAACAAGUGACAGGACCACCCAUAGGGCAGCCUAUGCUGACCUCAAUCACAGCAUCUGCAGGAGUGAGGGUCAGGCCCCCCAUGGGGGGGGUCAAACUCCUUGUUUCUCUGGGAGGUGUGGGGCAGCAGCUUGUUUGCUGUUGGGGGUUAAGGGAGACCAACACAGUUAUAUCCAUGCUCAGGGGAGGAGAAGCAGCAGUUCAAAGGGACUUGGGCCAAAAGAGGAUCUUACAAAGGGUCUUACACCACUGGGGGUGCAUCACAUCUCCAUUUGAUCCCAUCUCUCCAGGACAAAGCUUGUCUAUUCUGGGGCAAGCAGGGGAACUGGAGACUCUGACUUCUGAAUUUCAUGUACUCAGUGAUUGUAGUGCAAUGGGAGAGGCCAGAAAACUUCUGGGAAGGAAAACUAGGGACUUUCUCAUGCUUUAUUGUCCCUUCCAUAGACAAGGUGGCUUUGUGCUUGCAGGUAGCCCCAGGGUGGACCUGGGCUGGGAUGGAGCAUCCAGGGGAAUUUGAUGCUGAAUGCCCUUGAGAAGGUGGGUUGAAGAGCUCUGAGUGACUAAUGGGGGAUCCUUAAGGCACAAAGUUGUCCCUGCAUGUGCAUCCUCCAGGCAUCUCAGCAUCACCCACAGCCCCAUGGAUGUGUCAGCAAGCUGGGGUGCUGCUGUGCAGGCUGGGCUGGGGGCUCAGCAUGCAAACAGAGGAGGUUCAGUAUCACUAUUUUCUUCCCCAGGCUGGGGGUGUUAGAGCAGGAAGGCUUUAAGGGAUAUCAGCAACUGUGACAGGAGCUGUGGGCAGCUACAAGGCUUGAAUCUUGAUGGCAUGCUUCAGUCACGUGCUGCCUCUAAAUCCCACUGUUCCCAAUAUCUAGGUUUAUGAUACAGACAAGUCAGAACCAAAAACCAAUCGCUUCCCUAUAAAGAUCCAUUAACAGGCAACAAGAUGGGGCAAGCCAAGAGUCAACAUCCCAUUUCCAGCCUCAGAGUGGAGAAACCAUGCCCAGAGAUAGAGGGUUAAAUAGCUCAGUUGGCCCUAAUUGGCACAUUUCAUUGACUUUCAUAGCUACUACGUUGACUGCUUUUAUAACUGCAUCAAUGCUGGGCUCCCUGCUUCCUUCCUGCACACAACGAGCUGUGCUCAGAUGGGAGCAGCAGGCUCCAAAUUUCCACCCUCGCUUAGAGAACCCCAUCAAUUCAUCUUGGGCUGCUCCUGGGGUUGGCUGCUCCCCUGGGACAUCAGGUCCAAGCUGAAACGGGGGGCUGACAAAGUUGCCACAAAAAUGAAAACUAUGAUGGGAGGGGGAACCAAACCUAGUGGAAAAUUUCCCAACGCAGCAUGUUGUUGUGACUGAAAGUGCCAUUUGGUCCAAGCCAAAACUACCCACUGGAACGUGCUGAUUUUGACAAAACUCAAUUUACAAAAUAGAAAGGCCCGCAGAUAAGGUUGAAAUGGUUUGUGCUAACCUUGGAACAGAAUGUUUCUUUUUUUUAUUUUGUGGUGUUCAUUCUGCCCGCUUUAAAUCAAGUUCUCUUUUUAUUAUUUACAUUUGAAGUCACAGAUUUAUUUUAGAACGACUUCCUCUGUAUUCUCACUUCUUCCAAAGGGAGUUCAGCACAACCCUGAGCAGAGCUGCAACCAAAUCCAAAUGCUUUGGCUGUAAGGCAAUGGGACUCUUUGGAUAAAGCCAGGCCAAUGCUGUCUCUUGAAAUCUUGUUUCUGUGUAAAUUCUCUCAAUGUCAGUUUGUUUCCAAGCAGAAACACCCAGUCAUCUCCAUGGCCAACCUCUCCAAGAGCUCUUGAGCCUAAAGAGCAAGCUGCUCCUUCUUGCUGGUGCAUCUCCCCACCUGGGCCUGCUGUCAGCAUCCCAUCCCUCUCCAUCCCUUGGUCGGGAGCUAUUUGGGGCUGUGCUGUGCAUCUCUGUGCUCCCCAUCCUCUUCUUGGAGCUGACAGACGGAUCUGCUCCCACCCUCCACCUGCCCACCAUGCCCACCUCCUCCUCCGUCUGCUGUUUGUGCCUUCCCACUUGCUAACAGUUACCCUUCAGGCUG
Non-coding RNA from Phasianus colchicus (ring-necked pheasant), 4218 nucleotides. NCBI's taxonomy places the organism in Eukaryota, Metazoa, Chordata, Aves, Galliformes, Phasianidae. The record is from RefSeq and is a predicted model, not a curated record.